ACCUGCAUUGGAAAGUGAUCAUGGGCUCUCUGUGCUCUGGUCACCCAUGCUGCAGGGAGAGAAACUCCUGAAAGCCGUUUCCCGUGUUUGGAGGGUUCAUACCUGUCCCUUUCAAAUGCUGGCGCUUUCACACA
Small nucleolar RNA from Perognathus longimembris pacificus (Pacific pocket mouse), 134 nucleotides. RefSeq annotates it as small nucleolar RNA SNORA71. The record is from RefSeq and is a predicted model, not a curated record. NCBI's taxonomy places the organism in Eukaryota, Metazoa, Chordata, Mammalia, Rodentia, Heteromyidae. The transcript has a single exon.